UAGGGAAUCUUCCGCAAUGGGCGAAAGCCUGACGGAGCAACGCCGCGUGAGUGAUGAAGGUCUUCGGAUCGUAAAACUCUGUUAUUAGGGAAGAACAAAUGUGUAAGUAACUAUGCACGUCUUGACGGUCCCUAAUCAGAAAGCCACGGCUAACUACGUGCCAGCAGCCGCGGUAAUACGUAGGUGGCAAGCGUUAUCCGGAAUUAUUGGGCGUAAAGCGCGCGUAGGCGGUUUUUUAAGUCUGAUGUGAAAGCCCACGGCUCAACCGUGGAGGGUCAUUGGAAACUGGAAAACUUGAGUGCAGAAGAGGAAAGUGGAAUUCCAUGUGUAGCGGUGAAAUGCGCAGAGAUAUGGAGGAACACCAGUGGCGAAGGCGACUUUCAGGUCUGUAACUGACGCUGAUGUGCGAAAGCGUGGGGAUCAAACAGG
This 429-nucleotide ribosomal RNA is filed under the name Actinomycetes bacterium. RNAcentral's name for it is "Actinobacteria bacterium partial 16S ribosomal RNA". It matches the Rfam family "Bacterial small subunit ribosomal RNA", at positions 355 to 776 of the family's 1533-position model. Lineage: Bacteria; Bacillati; Actinomycetota; Actinomycetes. The record is from RNAcentral.